AAUACUAACAUGCCUAAUACUUCUGCACAGUACUGUAUAUAUUAACAUUUUAUUAGUGUUAUUAUAAAAGAAUGAGUAUGCAGUUGUGACAACAAUCUAUAGAGUUUUUAAUGAGAGUUUUAAAGCAAGGUUGUCUGCAUUCAGUGUUUAUAUAAUGUUUAAUAACUUUUAUAUACAUGUAUAAAUAAACCUAUGUAUGUUUUUGAUUCAACAGCUUCCACUGGAAAUCCUCAGGGAAGUUAUUUUGUCGGCGGGUGACUCUGCAUAUUUGACACUUUCUCUGGUUUGCAGAUGGUUUAGGGAUGUGCUCCGAAGUUUUUCAGAAAGCGGCAAAGUUUGCUUGGCUAGACCUUGUGGCCAACUGGAAGAAUUGUCCUCCUGUCUCCUGACCGGAACGAGUUCAGACGGAUGUACAGCAUCAGGGAAUGCUUGCAGUGCAGAGCCCUUUUCAAGUUUAACCCACCAGGGUACAGAGAAGAGGCCGGCGUGGUGAUCUUCUGGGCUUUUGUUUACACAGGAUUUUGUUCCAAGGACUGUUUUUUUUUUCUUUUUUGCGGCAUGAAACACAUUUGUGUGUUAAGUUCAUUGAAGGGAAAUAGAGAAUGGACUGAGAUCAACUGGUUUUGAUGUAUUAAUUGAUGUCAUUUAAAGUUAAACUUUGCAGUGUAUAAUGUUUUAAUAAAAAAGCUAUGGAAAACA
Long non-coding RNA from Carassius gibelio (silver crucian carp), 699 nucleotides. RefSeq lists it as uncharacterized. The record is from RefSeq and is a predicted model, not a curated record. The transcript has 2 exons. Lineage: Eukaryota; Metazoa; Chordata; Actinopteri; Cypriniformes; Cyprinidae.